AAAGAUUAAGCCAUGCAUGUCUCAGUGCAAGCCGAAUUAAGGUGAAACCGCGAAAGGCUCAUUAAAUCAGCUAUAAUUUAAUUGAUGGUACAAUCACGGUUACUUGGAUAACUGUGGCAAUUCUAGAGCUAAUACAUGCAAAACGAGUUCCGACCGCCUCGCGAGGGCGCGCGGAACGAAUGCUUUUAUUAGAACAAAACCAAUCGGAUCUUUCGCGUCGCUCGCGGAAGCCCGCAAAUUCUUGGUGACUCUGAAUAACUUUAGGCUGAUCGCACGGUCACGCACCGGCGACGCAUCUUUCAAAUGUCUGACUUAUCACUUUCGAUGGUAGGCUACGCGCCUACCAUGGUGAUAACGGGUGACGGGGAAUCAGGGUUCGAUUCCGGAGAGGGAGCCUGAGAAACGGCUACCACAUCCAAGGAAGGCAGCAGGCGCGCAAAUUACCCACUCCCGGCACGGGGAGGUAGUGACGAAAAAUAACGAUGCAGGACUCUUUCCGAGGCUCUGCAAUCGGAAUGAGCACACUCUAAAUCAUUUAACGAGUAUCCAUUGGAGGAUUGCGGCGUUAGAGGUGAAAUUCUUGGAUCGUCGCAAGACUAACCUAAGCGAAAGCAUUUGCCAAGGAUGUUUUCUUUAAUCAAGAACGAAAGUUGGAGGUUCGAAGGCGAUCAGAUACCGCCCUAGUUCUUACCGUAAACUAUGCCGGCUAGCGAUCCGCCGAUGUUCGUUUAGAUGAUUCGGCGGGCAGCUUGAGGGAAACCAAAGCCUUCGGGUUCCGGGGGAAGUAUGGUUGCAAAGCUGAAACUUAAAGGAAUUGACGGAAGGGCACCACCAGGAGUGGAGCUUGCGGCUUAAUUUGACUCAACACGGGAAACCUCACCAGGCCCGGACACCGGAAGGAUUGACAGAUCAAGAGCUCUUUCUUGAUUCGGUGGGUGGUGGUGCAUGGCCGUUCUUAGUUGGUGGAGCGAUUUGUCUGGUUAAUUCCGAUAACGAACGAGACUCUAGCCUGUUAACUAGGCGACGAUCCGGUUUUCCGGCAUGGAGCGAUUCAUUUCAAACACUGCCGGCGACGUGACUUCUUAGAGGGACAAGCGGCUUCUAGCCGCACGAGAUUGAGCAAUAACAGGUCUGUGAUGCCCUUAGAUGUUCUGGGCCGCACGCGUGCUACACUGAAGGAAUCAACGUGUACGACCGUCCUAGGCCGAGAGGUCCGGGCAACCCGUUGAAUUUCCUUCGUGAUAGGGAUCGGGGCUUGCAAUUGUUUCCCGUGAACUAGGAAUUCCCAGUAAGCGCGAGUCAUAAGCUCGCGUUGAUUACGUCCCUGCCCUUUGUACACACCGCCCGUCGCUACUACCGAUCGAACGAUUUAGUGAGGUCUUUGGACUCGUACGCGGGCGCACUUCGCGGCGAUUGCUCGCAGCUGCGAGGAAGACGACCAAACUUAAUCGUUUAGAGGAAGUAAAAGUCGUAACAA
This 1477-nucleotide ribosomal RNA is filed under the name Hoplopleura trispinosa. RNAcentral describes it as "bacterial SSU rRNA". It matches the Rfam family "Eukaryotic small subunit ribosomal RNA". The record is from RNAcentral. Lineage: Eukaryota; Metazoa; Arthropoda; Insecta; Psocodea; Hoplopleuridae.